Long non-coding RNA from Pseudopipra pipra, 437 nucleotides. RefSeq lists it as uncharacterized. The transcript has 3 exons. The record is from RefSeq and is a predicted model, not a curated record. Lineage: Eukaryota; Metazoa; Chordata; Aves; Passeriformes; Pipridae.
UGGGGCUCUGCUGCUGCCCGGGCUGCGGAGGGGAGAGCGCCUUGGCCGCUGGUUGUGCCCUCCCUGGGGCUCAGCUCAGGUCCGUGCCCCGCGGCUGGUGGAGUGUGGCGAGUUGUGCUUCCUGCCGGGCGGGAGCUGCCUUGGGAAGCUGCUCUGUCCCCACGGCUGUGCCGAGCUGGGAGCUUGGACAGGGAAGGGCAGGGCCCGUCCUGCCGGGACACUGAGCUGGUCCAGCUGCGGCAAGAAGAGCCCUGAUGCCUGAGUGCUCUCCAUCCCCCUAGGCUGGAUCCCAACUGUCAGCCCCUGGCUCCAUCCCUUGAGAAGAUGGUGUUCCUGCAAGCCCAGCUGCUGUGCUGGUGGUCCUGUGGGUACCUCCUGCCCUGGCCUGCUGUGACUGUGGUUGUGUUGCAGCUCAAUAAAGUCCCUUUCAGUGGUGA